Molecule: ribosomal RNA, 184 nt
Filed under: Fusarium sp. NR-2006-A1
Lineage: Eukaryota; Fungi; Ascomycota; Sordariomycetes; Hypocreales; Nectriaceae
Also listed under: 1 other name
Description: 5.8S ribosomal RNA
Rfam family: 5.8S ribosomal RNA (bases 12-165)
About the family: 5.8S ribosomal RNA (5.8S rRNA) is a component of the large subunit of the eukaryotic ribosome.
Source: RNAcentral
AAAUAAAUCAAAACUUUCAACAACGGAUCUCUUGGUUCUGGCAUCGAUGAAGAACGCAGCAAAAUGCGAUAAGUAAUGUGAAUUGCAGAAUUCAGUGAAUCAUCGAAUCUUUGAACGCACAUUGCGCCCGCCAGUAUUCUGGCGGGCAUGCCUGUUCGAGCGUCAUUUCAACCCUCAAGCCCCC